UACGAAGGGGGCUAGCGUUGUUCGGAUUUACUGGGCGUAAAGCGCACGUAGGCGGAUCGAUCAGUCAGGGGUGAAAUCCCAGAGCUCAACUCUGGAGCUGCCUUUGAUACUGUCGAUCUGGAGUAUGGAAGAGGUGAGUGGAAUUCCGAGUGUAGAGGUGAAAUUCGUAGAUAUUCGGAGGAACACCAGUGGCGAAGGCGGCUCACUGGCCCGGUACUGACGCUGAGGUGCGAAAGCGUGGGGAGCAAACAGG
Molecule: ribosomal RNA, 253 nt
Filed under: uncultured bacterium
Lineage: Bacteria
Description: partial 16S ribosomal RNA
Rfam family: Bacterial small subunit ribosomal RNA
Source: RNAcentral